AGCAUCGACUCUCACUGCCAUAAUAAAGAUGUGAGAUCUCCAUCCCCUCAACCUCCUCAGCCGGUCAAUUUAUUACCGAGAGUUGACUCCGAUGGACUCGUCGCCGGCGGUCGGUGGAGAAAUUGUGGAUGCUGCGGAGAUGAAGAAGGUGGCGCUGAUGAGGGCUCUCGUCGAGGAGAAGGAUCCUGCUGCCAAGCAAGAAGAUGAUCUUAUGCUCAGAAGAUUUUUGCGGGCACGUGAUUUGGACAUUGAGAAGGGAUCGAGCCUUUUUCUGAAAUAUCUCGAAUGGAAACGUCACUCUGUGCCAAAUGGUUACAUAUCAAAAUCAGAAGUCCAGAAUGAGCUUGCUCAUAAAAAGGUGUUUCUGCAGGGAUUUGAUAAGCAGCAACGCCCGAUAGCAGUUGUAUUUGCUGCUAGACAUUAUUCCUCUAAACGAGACAUUGAGGAGUUUAAGCGGCUCAGUGUGCAUGUUCUCGA
Molecule: unclassified non-coding RNA, 477 nt
Filed under: Hevea brasiliensis (rubber tree)
Lineage: Eukaryota; Viridiplantae; Streptophyta; Magnoliopsida; Malpighiales; Euphorbiaceae
Source: RNAcentral